Molecule: ribosomal RNA, 389 nt
Filed under: uncultured bacterium
Lineage: Bacteria
Description: bacterial SSU rRNA
Rfam family: Bacterial small subunit ribosomal RNA
Source: RNAcentral
GACGAACGCUGGCGGCGUGCUUAACACAUGCAAGUCGAGCGGUAAGGCCCUUUCGGGGGUACACGAGCGGCGAACGGGUGAGUAACACGUGGGUGACCUGCCCUCAGCUCUGGGAUAAGCCUGGGAAACCGGGUCUAAUACCGGAUAUGACUCCAUGACGCAUGUUGUGGGGUGGAAAGCCUUGUGCGGCUGAGGAUGGGCCCGCGGCCUAUCAGCUUGUUGGUGGGGUGANGGCCUACCAAGGCGACGACGGGUAGCCGGCCUGAGAGGGCGACCGGCCACACUGGGACUGAGACACGGCCCAGACUCCUACGGGAGGCAGCAGUGGGGAAUCUUGCGCAAUGGGCGAAAGCCCUGACGCAGCGACGCCGCGUGAGGGAUGACGGCCU